UACGAACGCUGGCGGCGUGCUUAACACAUGCAAGUCGAACGAAGUAGCGAACGGGUGAGUAACGCGUAAUCAACCUGCCCUUCAGCGGGGGACAACAGUUGGAAACGACUGCUAAUACCGAAUACUGAAGGAGGGGAUGGCGUCUGAUUAGGUAGUGGGAGGGGUAACGUUCCACCAAGGCGAGGAUCAGUAGGCGGUCUGAGAGGAUGAACGGACACAUUGGGACUGAGACACGGCCCAGACUCCUACGGGAGGCAGCAGUGGGGAAUCUUCCGCAAUGGACGAAAGUCUGACGGAGCAACGCCGCGUGAGUGAUGACGGCCUUCGGGUUGUAAAGCUCUGUUAAUCGGGACGCGGUACCGGAAUAGAAAGCCACGGCUAACUACGUGCCAGCCGCCGCGGUAAUUC
Molecule: ribosomal RNA, 408 nt
Filed under: uncultured bacterium
Lineage: Bacteria
Description: partial 16S ribosomal RNA
Rfam family: Bacterial small subunit ribosomal RNA
Source: RNAcentral